AUACGUAGGUGGCAAGCGUUGUCCGGAUUUAUUGGGCGUAAAGCGAGUGCAGGCGGUUCAAUAAGUCUGAUGUGAAAGCCUUCGGCUCAACCGGAGAAUUGCAUCAGAAACUGUUGAACUUGAGUGCAGAAGAGGAGAGUGGAACUCCAUGUGUAGCGGUGGAAUGCGUAGAUAUAUGGAAGAACACCAGUGGCGAAGGCGGCUCUCUGGUCUGCAACUGACGCUGAGGCUCGAAAGCAUGGGUAGC
Molecule: ribosomal RNA, 247 nt
Filed under: uncultured bacterium
Lineage: Bacteria
Description: partial 16S ribosomal RNA
Rfam family: Bacterial small subunit ribosomal RNA
Source: RNAcentral